RNAcentral lists this ribosomal RNA (777 nucleotides) under uncultured Neocallimastigales. Its description in RNAcentral is "partial large subunit ribosomal RNA". It matches the Rfam family "Eukaryotic large subunit ribosomal RNA", at positions 26 to 618 of the family's 3401-position model. Lineage: Eukaryota; Fungi; Neocallimastigomycota; Neocallimastigomycetes; Neocallimastigales. The record is from RNAcentral.
CGUCUAUAUACGUAUAGCAUAUCAAUAAGCGGAGGAAAAGGAAACUAACUAGGAUUCCCUUAGUAACGGCGAGUGAAGCGGGAAGAGCUCAAAUUUGAAAUCUUCAAGGUUCUACCUUGACGAAUUGUAGUUUAAAGAAGUGCUUUUCUGUUAGAGGAGUAGCAAAAGUUCCUUGGAAUGGGACAUCAUAGAGGGUGAGAAUCCCGUAUUUGGUUAUUCUUUCUAGCUUUGUGAUACACUUUCAAAGAGUCGGAUUGUUUGGGAAUGCAGUCCAAAAUGGGUGGUAAAUUUCAUCUAAAGCUAAAUAUUGGCGAGAGACCGAUAGCGAACAAGUACCGUGAGGGAAAGAUGAAAAGAACUUUGAAAAGAGAGUUAAACAGUACGUGAAAUUGUCAAAAGGGAAGCGUUUGACACCAGUGUUGUUUUUCCGAAAAUCAAUUAAGAACGGCUUGAUUUUGUGUUGUAUUGACCUUAUCAGCUUUCUUCACUCUUUUUCGAGUCUUUCUUAAUGCACUUUUCGGUUAACAAGUCAACAUCAAUUUCUUUUGUUGUAAAAGGGUAUUUGGAAGGUGGCUUUCUUUUCGGAGAAAGUGUUUAUAGCCUUAUACCUCUACAAUCGGAGAGAUUGAGGUCUGCAGCGUAGAUCCUUCGGGGCUAGAUACACUUGUGCUAAGUUAUAGCUUUUCAUAGACAACUUGUUGACUAUGUUUAGUCAUGUAGCUUACCCGCUUGUGCUAUUUUACCUACGCUUAGGAUGUUGAGUCAUCACACAUCUCU